Molecule: RNA transcript, 1635 nt
Organism: Populus nigra (black poplar)
Lineage: Eukaryota; Viridiplantae; Streptophyta; Magnoliopsida; Malpighiales; Salicaceae
Exons: 3
Source: RefSeq, a predicted model, not a curated record
GCUUAACUCCAAAGAAGAAGAUGAUGAAUGUCUCCUUGGCUCAUUCAAAACACUCUCUCUCCACCUUAAUACCCUCCAAGCUUCACCAAAACCUCCCCCCUCCAAUCCAUCCCAACAAAAAUUAAAUGAAUCCAUAAGAUUAGGACCCAAAUAGAACAAAAACAUGACCACCAUUUCUUCCUUCCUUGCCACUAGUAACACCCCCCUCUCUUCGCACCCUUCAACUUCUACUCAUGCUUCCAAAGUCUCUCACUUUCCUUCGUUGAAUCCAUCCCUUUUCUCUAAAUCUCCUUCAUGUCCUUAUCCUCUAUGUAAGUUUCCAAGAAAACCCAAAAGAAUAGUUUCUUUAAAAUCAUCAGAAGCAGGGGAGAUAUCAUCAACAGGAUAUGAGUGGCUACAAACACUCCCUGACAAGAAAAAGCCUCUGUACUCUCAUAGUUUGCCUUGCAUUGAAGCUUGGUUGAAGGGUUUGGGGUUUUACCAAAGCAAGGAGAGCCGUGCUAUUUGGUUUGUUGAGAAACCUGAUUGGCAUGCUCAGUUAUCACUUGAUGUCACUGAUCUUUAUAUAAGACCUUCAAUCUUCAAUUGAACUAUGUACAAUUGAAGUUUCUCUACCAUCAAUCUUCUAAAAUAUCAAGGUGAUGGCACCUAUUCAAGAGUAAGACCAAUGCAAUGAUGACAUUGUGCUCAUUGAAUCUUGGUUGGGAUUCAAUAAAAGGAAAGGAAUGGUGGAGAAAGCUGGAUAACUUUAAGUGGGAAACAAGGUACUUGAAGAAUGGACCAGGGAAUCUUGAAAAGGAUGUGGAGAGGAGAUUCAGUUAAGCAUUGAGCAGAGAAGAUAUAGAAAAUGCCACUCUUGGAGGACCAUAAAGAAAAUGAAAGUGAUCAUUUUAUCUUUUGAAUGGUCUCACUGUUUAUUCAUGGGAAUAUCUCAUAGGACUUGCAUGGUGUUCAUUCUAUAUCCUCAUUCUGAGCAUACGCUCUCCUUUUUUAAAAAAAAUAAAAUAAAAUUCUUUUGAUGCAUCCCAAGUUGUCCAAUUCCUUCUCAAUGGGCUUUGAUGAUUGAUAAAUGCAUCCGACUUUGGUCUCUGGUCUUGAUCAAGCAUGCUCUCUUUUUGCUUCACCAUUCAUCGUUGGAAAACAGAGGAACAUGUUAUUACGCUAUCAGAAUCUACAGCUUCUGCAUCAUUUUUCAGGACAAAAGCAACGGCAAAAGAGGAAGGAAGGAAGCAAAAAGCUUAUAGUUCAAGUUUCAGUAGCACCACCUUUUGUAUUCUUCGUAGAGCUCCUGGAUUCAACUCCAGAUGAUGGUUAUCACUGAUGAUUUUGACAGUGGGAUUUCCCAGUAUCUAUCCACACUAAUGAGUUAGCUGCAGGAGUGUGGAUAGAUACAGGGAAAUCAGAGUGGAGUGGCGGCAGGCCUGCAACCUGAUGCUCUUACAAAAAGUGGCCAAUUUCAAUGAAUUGCCAAGAAGAAUUUGCGGAACUCGAUAUUUGAAUACAAGUACAGAACUGAUGUUAGGAACUUCAGUUCCUCCUUCACAUUUCUCCCUCCCCAGACCUACAGUAUUGUUGUAAUACUAUACGACCUAAACGACAAUUUCAGUAAAAAAAAUUUUCCCUUUACCUCACCAA